This 229-nucleotide unclassified non-coding RNA is filed under the name plant metagenome. RNAcentral's name for it is "partial contains small subunit ribosomal RNA, internal transcribed spacer 1, and 5.8S ribosomal RNA". The record is from RNAcentral.
UCUCCGUAGGUGAACCUGCGGAGGGAUCAUUACAGAGUUCAUGCCCUAACAGGUAGAUCUCCCACCCUAUGUUAUCAUCACUUUGUUGCUUUGGCGGGCCGUCAGGCCUCGGCUUGGCUACCGGCUCUCGCUGGUAAGCGCCCGCCAGAGAACCCCAAACCCUGAAUAUCAGUGUCGUCUGAGUACUAUAUAAUAGUUAAAACUUUCAACAACGGAUCUCUUGGUUCUG